GGUACCCCAAGACGAUGCGUUCUGACAUUUUGAACCUACAUUGAUUGAAACGGGAUUCCAAUAUUUUUUGGCGGAUGACAUGCCUCCUUGAGUGGACUUCAGAACCCAAAGUGCGGUGAACCCACCUGGCGUGAGCUAGGAAUCAAAAUUCAGAACAGCGUUUUGGGAUCUUU
This 173-nucleotide non-coding RNA is filed under the name Lachnospiraceae bacterium. RNAcentral's name for it is "6S RNA". It matches the Rfam family "6S / SsrS RNA". Rfam says of the family: E. coli 6S RNA was the first non coding RNA to be sequenced, but its function was unknown until recently. It consists of 184 nucleotides that fold into an extended hairpin structure with a large single-stranded internal bulge. The 6S RNA specifically associates with RNA polymerase holoenzyme containing the sigma70 specificity factor. Lineage: Bacteria; Bacillati; Bacillota; Clostridia; Lachnospirales; Lachnospiraceae. The record is from RNAcentral.